GGAAUAUGUGAGGAUGAUCGCUUGCGACAUCUGUCACCCCAUUGAUCGCCAGGGCUGAUUCGGCUGAUCUGGCUGGCUAGAAGGGUGUCUUCCUCACCACUCCAUUUACUUCCCUCCCUAAGCUGUGCACUUGGUCAAAGAGGAUGACCAUCCCCAACUGAAGGAGGUCCAGUCAUCAAUUCUCUGCUAGAACCUCCAAACAAGCCCAAGUAAUAUGUGUGUGUGUGUUAGCAUAAAUAUAAUUAUGGUCUUUAGUGAUAAAUUGUGUCCUUUGAA
This 276-nucleotide small nuclear RNA is filed under the name Meriones unguiculatus (Mongolian gerbil). RNAcentral's name for it is "7SK RNA (ENSMUGG00000026417.1)". It matches the Rfam family "7SK RNA". From Rfam's summary of the family: 7SK was discovered as an abundant small nuclear RNA in the mid-70s but a possible function has only recently been suggested. Two independent studies have found that 7SK RNA binds the CDK9/cyclin T complex (known as elongation factor P-TEFb). The record is from RNAcentral. Lineage: Eukaryota; Metazoa; Chordata; Mammalia; Rodentia; Muridae.